RNAcentral lists this non-coding RNA (219 nucleotides) under Enterococcus gilvus. RNAcentral describes it as "T-box sequence". It matches the Rfam family "T-box leader". From Rfam's summary of the family: Uncharged tRNA acts as the effector for transcription antitermination of genes in the T-box leader family. T-boxes are found upstream of many aminoacyl-tRNA synthetase genes and some amino acid biosynthetic genes usually in Gram-positive bacteria. The anticodon of a specific tRNA base pairs to a specifier sequence within the T-box motif, and the NCCA acceptor tail of the tRNA base pairs to a conserved bulge in the T-box antiterminator hairpin. The record is from RNAcentral. Lineage: Bacteria; Bacillati; Bacillota; Bacilli; Lactobacillales; Enterococcaceae.
UUAAUUGCGUUGAAGAGAAGAGUACAAGGAAUCGGACUUGACAGAGAGCUUCGGGAAUUGAGAAGAAGCAGCAGCGAUUCAUUGGAAGAUGGCCUUGGAGCAAUUGUCUUUACCAGACACGGGAAUGCCCGUUACAGCAGUUCGUAGCAAUACGACACAAGAUCAGUCUUGCAAGAGACUGGUAAACUAAGGUGGUACCACGGCACUCCCGUCCUUUCA